Cucurbita pepo subsp. pepo (vegetable marrow) is the source of this 1023-nucleotide long non-coding RNA. RefSeq lists it as uncharacterized. The record is from RefSeq and is a predicted model, not a curated record. Lineage: Eukaryota; Viridiplantae; Streptophyta; Magnoliopsida; Cucurbitales; Cucurbitaceae.
CAGGCCUAAUGAUUCUGUUGAGGUGGCCCUGUUGGACGGUAUCAUGAUGGGAGGUGGGGCUGGGAUUACCCUUCCAGGCAUGUUCAAAGUGGUGACUGAUAGAACUGCAAAUACAGAGACUUGGUGGAAUUGAAGAACGCCUUGGUAAAAUGAUAACCGAUGACCCUUCUGUCAUAGAAUCAUCUCUUGCUGCAUUCGGUGAUCUUGUCGAUCCUCCAAAAGUGACCUCGUUUCGCCAGUUCAGGCUCCCGAUAACAGGAGCGUUCUUUCCAAGCUCGAUGCAACAGAUGGGUGUUUUAGCCACGACACUGUUGAGUAAAUUUUGGAAGCCUUGGUAAGCAUUGUAUCAUGUUUCUUUCUAAACCUUUAUGAUGCUGUUGGACACUUCAACUAGUAGAAUUCAUAGACUAACCAACCAAGUGUAUAGCUUGCUGACCUCUACUAAGAAUCAAAACUUCACGGAAGUAUUUUUUGUUUUAAUCCACACGUUUAGGAAAGAGAGGCUGCAGAGUCUUGUGAUGAAUGGUAUUCUUCAACCCUGAAGUUACUUCAGAGAAGCCUCGCCAUUGAGCUGAAAGUUACUCUAAAUCUAUCUGUGAGUUUUCGAAGUCUCAAGGCCAAUGUCUUGCUCGUGAAUACAGUAUAUCCCUCAUCGGAAUUUUGAAGCAGGCAUCUCCCGAUUUCUAUGAGGUGAAUUACCUGAACUAUUGCUGCCCACUGCGUUACGGUAUCCAAAUUCACGGUAAAGAAGCAAAAAUAUACCCGACGUCUAUUUGGUGGUGCCAUAAUUAUUGUUUCAGACACUCAAUUUCUCCGGUUCAGAGGUUGAAUUUCAUCUUGUCAAUGACCAUUUUGGUAUGACUUUUUUUUUCUCUCUCAUAUAAUAUAUUAUUGUUUUUAAUGAGCCCAUCGAUUUUUCCUAAUAGAUAGUAGAGGUGUACAUUCAACCCGAUAUACUGAAUCAACACAAUUUGAUGGAUUGGAUUGGGUUCAUUUUUUUGAAUCCAAAAUGAUUCGGUUCGA